This 459-nucleotide ribosomal RNA is filed under the name uncultured bacterium. RNAcentral's name for it is "partial 16S ribosomal RNA". It matches the Rfam family "Bacterial small subunit ribosomal RNA", at positions 338 to 795 of the family's 1533-position model. The record is from RNAcentral.
CCUACGGGGCGCAGCAGUGAGGAAUAUUGGUCAAUGGACGAGAGUCUGAACCAGCCAAGUAGCGUGAAGGAUGACUGCCCUAUGGGUUGUAAACUUCUUUUAUAUGGGAAUAAAACGUUCCACGUGUGGGAUUUUGUAUGUACCAUAUGAAUAAGGAUCGGCUAACUCCGUACCAGCAGCCGCGGUAAUACGGAGGAUCCGAGCGUUAUCCGGAUUUAUUGGGUUUAAAGGGAGCGUAGGUGGAUUGUUAAGUCAGUUGUGAAAGUUUGCGGCUCAACCGUAAAAUUGCAGUUGAAACUGGCAGUCUUGAGUACAGUAGAGGGGGGCGGAAUUCGUGGUGUAGCGGUGAAAUGCUUAGAUAUCACGAAGAACUCCGAUUGCGAAGGCAGUUCACUGGACUGCAACUGACACUGAGGCUCGAAAGUGUGGGUAUCAAACAGGAUUAGAUACCCUUGUGUC